AACGAACGCUGGCGGCAUGCCUAACACAUGCAAGUCGAACGAGACCUUCGGGUCUAGUGGCGCACGGGUGCGUAACACGUGGGAAUCUGCCCUUCGGUUCGGAAUAACAGAGAGAAAUUUCUGCUAAUACCGGAUGAUGACGUAAGUCCAAAGAUUUAUCGCCGAAGGAUGAGCCCGCGUAGGAUUAGGUAGUUGGUGGGGUAAUGGCCCACCAAGCCGACGAUCCUUAGCUGGUCUGAGAGGAUGAUCAGCCACACUGGGACUGAGACACGGCUCAGACUCCUACGGGAGGCAGCAGUGGGGAAUAUUGGACAAUGGGCGAAAGCCUGAUCCAGCAAUGCCGCGUGAGUGAUGAAGGCCUUAGGGUUGUAAAGCUCUCUUACCAGGGAUGAUAAUGACAGUACCUGGAGAAUAAGCUCCGGCUAACUCCGUGCCAGCCGCCGCGGUAA
RNAcentral lists this ribosomal RNA (449 nucleotides) under uncultured bacterium. RNAcentral's name for it is "partial 16S ribosomal RNA". It matches the Rfam family "Bacterial small subunit ribosomal RNA", at positions 29 to 523 of the family's 1533-position model. The record is from RNAcentral.